RNAcentral lists this long non-coding RNA (204 nucleotides) under Capsicum annuum. RNAcentral's name for it is "long non-coding RNA (CANN_LNC014611)". Lineage: Eukaryota; Viridiplantae; Streptophyta; Magnoliopsida; Solanales; Solanaceae. The record is from RNAcentral.
CAAGAUCGAUUAUGUGCAGAAUUAUCCAAGGACUAACAAUUUGAGAGAUAUCUAUAAGUCAUAUUGUGUCCAAGGUUGGAUGAUGUGCAGGAACACCUGAAAACUAGCAAUUGGAGAGAUAUCUGAAAGUCAUCUCUUAUCCAAAGUCGGAUAAUGUGCAGGAUUACCUAAAGGCUAGAAAUUCAAAGGAUAUCUAUAAGUCGC